GGAGCUAAAGAAGUAUGUAAGGAGCGUAGUAGGUGGCGCUCUGUAGUUUCUGUAUACCAUCAGAUGUAUGAAUGUGAUGGAAGCUAAAGAAGUAUGUAAGGAGCGCAGUAGGUGGCGCUCUGUAGUUUCUGUAUACCAUCAGAUGUAUGAAUGUGAUGGAAGCUAAAGAAGUAUGUAAGGAGCGUAGUAGGUGGCGCUCUGUAGUUUCUGUAUACCAUCAGAUGUAUGAAUGUGAUGGAAGCUAAAGAAGUAUGUAAGGAGCGCAGUAGGUGGCGCUCUGUAGUUUCUGUAUACCAUCAGAUGUAUGAAUGUGAUGGAAGCUAAAGAAGUAUGUAAGGAGCGUAGUAGGUGGCGCUCUGUAGUUUCUGUAUACCAUCAGAUGUAUGAAUGUGAUGGAAGCUAAAGAAGUAUGUAAGGAGCGUAGUAGGUGGCGCUCUGUAGUUUCUGUAUACCAUCAGAUGUAUGAAUGUGGUGGAAGCUAAAGAAGUAUGUAAGGAGCGCAGUAGGUGGCGCUCUGUAGUUUCUGUAUACCAUCAGAUGUAUGAAUGUGAUGGAAGCUAAAGAAGUAUGUAAGGAGCGUAGUAGGUGGCGCUCUGUAGU
Molecule: long non-coding RNA, 600 nt
Organism: Spodoptera frugiperda (fall armyworm)
Lineage: Eukaryota; Metazoa; Arthropoda; Insecta; Lepidoptera; Noctuidae
Exons: 3
Source: RefSeq, a predicted model, not a curated record